RNAcentral lists this ribosomal RNA (460 nucleotides) under uncultured bacterium. Its description in RNAcentral is "partial 16S ribosomal RNA". It matches the Rfam family "Bacterial small subunit ribosomal RNA", at positions 338 to 795 of the family's 1533-position model. The record is from RNAcentral.
CCUACGGGUGGCAGCAGUGAGGAAUAUUGGUCAAUGGACGAGAGCCUGAACCAGCCAAGUAGCGUGAAGGAUGACUGCUCUAUGGGUCGUAAACUUCUUUUAUAUGGGAAUAAAAUGUUCGACGUGUGCGGUUUUGUAUGUACCAUAUGAAUAAGGAUCGGCUAACUCCGUGCCAGCAGCCGCGGUAAUACGGAGGAUCCGAGCGUUAUCCGGAUUUAUUGGGUUUAAAGGGAGCGUAGGUGGAUUGUUAAGUCAGUGGUGAAAGUUUGCGGCUCAACCGUAAAAUUGCAGUUGAAACUGGCAGUCUUGAGUACAGUAGAGGUAGGCGGAAUGCGUGGUGUAGCGGUGAAAUGCUUAGAUAUCACGAAGAACUCCGAUUGCGAAGGCAGCUCGCUGGGCUGCAACUGACGCUGAGGCUCGAAAGUGUGGGUAUCAAACAGGAUUAGAUACCCCAGUAGUC